AGCGAACGCUGGCGGCAGGCCUAACACAUGCAAGUCGAACGAACCUUUCGGGGUUAGUGGCGGACGGGUGAGUAACACGUGGGAACGUGCCUUUAGGUUCGGAAUAACUCAGGGAAACUUGUGCUAAUACCGAAUGUGCCCUUCGGGGGAAAGAUUUAUCGCCUUUAGAGCGGCCCGCGUCUGAUUAGCUAGUUGGUUGAGGUAAUGGCUCACCAAGGCGACGAUCAGUAGCUGGUCUGAGAGGAUGAUCAGCCACAUUGGGACUGAGACACGGCCCAAACUCCUACGGGAGGCCGCAGUGGGGAAUCUUGCGCAAUGGGCGAAAGCCUGACGCAGCCAUGCCGGGUGAAUGAUGAAGGUCUUAGGAUUGUAAAAUUCUUUCACCGGGGACGAUAAUGACGGUACCCGGAGAAGAAGCCCCGGCUAACUUCGUG
RNAcentral lists this ribosomal RNA (434 nucleotides) under uncultured bacterium. Its description in RNAcentral is "partial 16S ribosomal RNA". It matches the Rfam family "Bacterial small subunit ribosomal RNA", at positions 29 to 507 of the family's 1533-position model. The record is from RNAcentral.